ACCCGCUGAACUUAAGCAUAUCAGUAAGCGGAGGAAAAGAAACUAACUAGGAUUCCCCGAGUAGCGGCGAGCGAAAAGGGAGAAGCCCAGCGCCGAAGCCCGCGGCCUCUGGUCGCAGUGCAAUGUGGCGUUACGGUGGCGGCUUGCCGCGGCAUCUCUGGCACGAGUACCUCUGAAUGGGUCUGCCCGCAGCGGGUGUCAGGCCUCUACUUGCCUGCGAGUUGCCGUGGCCUGCCGUUCAUCGCGGAGUCGGGUUGCUUGAGAGUGCAGCCCAAAGUGGGUGGUAAGCUCCAUCUAAGGCUAAAUACCUAGUGCGAGACCGAUAGCAAACAAGUACCGUGAGGGAAAGUUGCAAAGAACUUUGAAAAGAGAGUUCAAGAGUACGUGAAACCGUUCAGAGGCAAACGGACGGAACUGGGCGAGUUCGUCGCCGCCAUUCAGCCGCCGACGCCCGUCGGCGGUGCACUUGGCGGCGGCGGAGCGCGACGACCGCCUGUCGGGUCGUCAGAAGCCCGGCGGCAAGGUGGCGACGCGUUCGCGCGUCGUGUUACAGGCCGCCGAGGCGUUGGCUGACUUGGCGGGCGAGGAGCGCCUGCGGUGCACUCCCCGCGCGGGAGUGGCCCGUCGCGGUGGGCUUGCGGACGCCGGCGGCGAACUGCGUGCAGUUCGUCGUCGCGCCGUUCCGUCUGUCGCGCCGCGCGGUGUCACGGGGCACCCAGGGUCCGAGUCGCGUGGUUCCUGGCACUCCGUCCGACCCGUCUUGAAACACGGACCAAGGAGUUGAGCACGCGCGCGAGUCGAUGGGCUCGCAGAACCCCAGAGGCGCAGCUAAGGCAAAACGGGCGUGAUCCGGCACUGGCGUGUCGGCGCAACGCCGGCCCGCAGCCGACUCGAUGCGAGUGGCUGCGGCGCAAGAGCGCGCGUGCUCAGACCCGAAAGGUGGUGAACUAUGCUUGAGCAGGGCGAAGCCAGAGGAAACUCUGGUGGAGGCUCGCAGCGAUCCUGACGUGCAAAUCGGUCGUCAAACUUGAGCAUAGGGGCGAAAGACUAAUCGAACCGCCUAGUAGCUGGUUCCCUCCGAAGUUUCCCUCAGGAUAGCUGGCACUCGGGAUAAAUGGUUUUAUCCGGUAAAGCGAAUGAUUAGAGGCAUUGGGGACGAAACGUCCUCAACCUAUUCUCAAACUUUAAAUGGGUAAGAGGCGCGACCCUUCCUGAUCGGGGUCGCGUGCUCGAACAGAGAGUGCCCAGUGGGCCGUUUUUGGUAAGCAGAACUGGCGCUGUGGGAUGAACCAAACGUGCGGUUAGGGUGCCUAACGCACGCUCAUGAGACACCACAAAAGGUGUUGGUUGAUAUAGACAGCAGGACGGUGGCCAUGGAAGUCGGAAUCCGCUAAGGAGUGUGUAACAACUCACCUGCCGAAUCAACUAGCCCUGAAAAUGGAUGGCGCUGGAGCGUGCGACCCAUACCGCACCGUCGGGGCAAUGCGUGCGAAAUGCCAGGCCCCGACGAGUAGGAGGGCGUGUCGGUGGCGUUGAAGCGUAGUGCGCGAGCACGCGUGGAGCCGCCUUCAGUGCAGAUCUUGGUGGUAGUAGCAAGUAUACAAAUGAGAACUUUGUAGACCGAAGUGGAGAAGGGUUCCAUGUGAACAGCAGUUGGACAUGGGUCAGUCGGCCCUAAGAGAUCGGAAAAUUCCGUUCUGAACGGGGGAGGCGCACUCGCCGUCUGAACAAUGACGCCACUUGCGGUAACGUUCAGUGAGGAGCGGCGCUCUGUGUGCGUGGCGGCCCCCGAUGCGAUCGAAAGGGAAUCGGGUUAAUAUUCCCGAACCUGGUAGUGGAGAUUGGGCCCUCGGGCCCCAGUGCGGUAACGCAACCGAACUCGGAGACGCCAGCGUCGAUCCCGGGAAGAGUUCUCUUUUCUUUGUUAGGAGCGGACUCCCUGGAAUUGGCUUGUCCAGAGAUAGGGACGUUGCAUCCGUAAAGCGUCGCGCCUCACGCGGCGUCCGGUGCAUCGGCGUUGGCCCUUGAAAAUCCGAGGGAGGCAGUGUGAUUUUCACUCCAGGCCGUACCCGAAUCCGCAGCAGGUCUCCAAGGUGAACAGCCUCUGGUCGAUAGAACAAUGUAGGUAAGGGAAGUCGGCAAAUCCGAUCCGUAACUUCGGGAUAAGGAUUGGCUCUGAGGUGCGGGCUGCUUCGGGUCGCGGCAAGAAGCGGACUGCGCGUCGGUAGGACUGGACGCGCUUCGGCGCGUUCGGACCGCCGCCGGCGUGCGUCCGUGGGAGGCCGUGGCUUUCGCCGUCGUCUGCCCUCGGGCGGGCGCGCGGCUUCGUUCGGCCUAAACGCACAGCACAGAACUGGCACGGACUCUGGGAACACGACUGUCUAAUUAAAACAAAGCAUCGCGAUGGCCGCUGGUCGGUGUUGACGCGAUGUGAUUUCUGCCCAGUGCUUUGAAUGUCAAAGUGAAGAAAUUCAACCAAGCGCAGGUAAACGGCGGGAGUAACUAUGACUCUCUUAAGGUAGCCAAAUGCCUCGUCAUCUAAUUAGUGACGCGCAUGAAUGGAUUAACGAUGUUCCCACUGUCCCUAUCUACUAUCUAGCGAAACCACAGCCAAGGGAACGGGCUUGGCAAAUACAGCGGGGAAAG
This 2646-nucleotide ribosomal RNA is filed under the name Amphiblestrum contentum. RNAcentral describes it as "partial large subunit ribosomal RNA". It matches the Rfam family "Eukaryotic large subunit ribosomal RNA", at positions 23 to 2406 of the family's 3401-position model. The record is from RNAcentral. Lineage: Eukaryota; Metazoa; Bryozoa; Gymnolaemata; Cheilostomatida; Calloporidae.